RNAcentral lists this RNase P RNA (340 nucleotides) under Clostridia bacterium. RNAcentral's name for it is "RNase P RNA component class A". It matches the Rfam family "Bacterial RNase P class A". Rfam says of the family: Ribonuclease P (RNase P) is a ubiquitous endoribonuclease, found in archaea, bacteria and eukarya as well as chloroplasts and mitochondria. Its best characterised activity is the generation of mature 5'-ends of tRNAs by cleaving the 5'-leader elements of precursor-tRNAs. The record is from RNAcentral. Lineage: Bacteria; Bacillati; Bacillota; Clostridia.
UGAGCAAAACAGACAGUCGCGGGGAAAGUAAUUUUUUACUUUUCAUGAGGAAAGUCCGGGCUUCACAGAGCAAGGGUGCCGGUUAACGACCGGUGGAGGCAACUCUAAGGAUAGUGCAACAGAAAAGAACCGCCGAGAUUUUCGGUAAGGAUGAAAAGGCGAGGUAAGAGCUCACCGGCAAUCCGGAGACGGGUUGGCCGUGUAAACCCCACCCGAAGCAACACAAGACUGCACGAUAGCUUGCUCGGCUGUGCGAAUUGUGGCUUGAGGUAAUCAGCAAUGGUUAUCCUAGAUAGAUGGCUGUCAGAUACAGAACCCGGCUUAUAGUUUUGCUCAAAUC